Molecule: ribosomal RNA, 575 nt
Filed under: uncultured bacterium
Lineage: Bacteria
Description: bacterial SSU rRNA
Rfam family: Bacterial small subunit ribosomal RNA
Source: RNAcentral
CCUACGGGAGGCAGCAGUGAGGAAUAUUGGACAAUGGGCGCAAGCCUGAUCCAGCCAUGCCGCGUGCAGGAUGACGGUCCUAUGGAUUGUAAACUGCUUUUAUACGGGAAGAAACCCUGGCUCGUGAGCCAGAUUGACGGUACCGUAAGAAUAAGGAUCGGCUAACUCCGUGCCAGCAGCCGCGGUAAUACGGAGGAUCCAAGCGUUAUCCGGAAUCAUUGGGUUUAAAGGGUCCGUAGGCGGUUUAAUAAGUCAGUGGUGAAAGCCCAUCGCUCAACGGUGGAACGGCCAUUGAUACUGUUAGACUUGAAUUAUUAGGAAGUAACUAGAAUAUGUAGUGUAGCGGUGAAAUGCUUAGAGAUUACAUGGAAUACCAAUUGCGAAGGCAGGUUACUACUAAUUGAUUAACGCUGAUGGACGAAAGCGUGGGUAGCGAACAGGAUUAGAUACCCUGGUAGUCCACGCCGUAAACGAUGGAUACUAGCUGUUGGGAGUAAUCUCAGUGGCUAAGCGAAAGUGAUAAGUAUCCCACCUGGGGAGUACGUUCGCAAGAUGAAACUCAAAUGAAUUGACGG